Molecule: ribosomal RNA, 499 nt
Filed under: uncultured bacterium
Lineage: Bacteria
Description: partial 16S ribosomal RNA
Rfam family: Bacterial small subunit ribosomal RNA
Source: RNAcentral
AUUGAACGCUGGCGGAAUGCUUUACACAUGCAAGUCGAACGGCAGCACGGACUUCGGUCUGGUGGCGAGUGGCGAACGGGUGAGUAAUAUAUCGGAACGUGCCCAGUCGUGGGGGAUAACGUAGCGAAAGCUACGCUAAUACCGCAUACGAUCUACGGAUGAAAGCGGGGGAUCGCAAGACCUCGCGCGAUUGGAGCGGCCGAUAUCAGAUUAGGUAGUUGGUGAGGUAAAGGCUCACCAAGCCGACGAUCUGUAGCUGGUCUGAGGGGACGACCAGCCACACUGGGACUGAGACACGGCCCAGACUCCUACGGGAGGCAGGAGUGGGAAUUUUGGACAAUGGACGCAAGUCUGAUCCAGCCAUUCCGCGUGCAGGACGAAGGCCUUCGGGUUGUAAACUGCUUUUGUACAGAACGAAAAGGUCUCUAUUAAUACUAGGGGCUCAUGACGGUACUGUAAGAAUAAGCACCGGCUAACUACGUGCCAGCCGCCGCGGUAA